AUGGAGGCAGUAUAGAGAGUGACGAAAUAGGGCGGCGUUGGCUCAAGCGGUAGCACGCGCGCCUGAGAUCUCAGGAGCGCCGGAUCGAUUCUCGGUCCCAGCGUCUGCUUUUGUGAUUUUCCCCUCUCACGUGAAGUCUCACCCCGUUACAUGGUCAAUGUAACGGGGUGUAAAUUCGAUCAACGAAUAACUCGUUAAACGACUGGAUCGCGUUCCCUCGAUGCGGCGGAGAACUCCUAUCUACUCCUGUCUACGCGCCUGACGCGUGCUCGGCUGCUCAACUGCGUUAAAUAAGUAUUAAUAAAUAAUGCCCGCGGAGAAGGCGGUAUUCGCAGGAAGGAACAGGAUUAGGAAGUAAGCGAACGAGGUUUAAAAAUGACGACAAAUCACGUAAAAUAAUAAGACUAGGGUUAUAUUUACUAGUCGCGAAAUAAACGUGAAGUUACAAUCAUGAAAUAAUAAUACGCGAGUCGCCAACAACUUUGCGACUCGCCGCAACGCCAUAAUAAUUGCGCUCGUACGCGUGUAUCGUCGUGAAGGUCGCGCGCGCCGGAUCACCCUCGCAUGGGUGAUACACACUCACACAUGCACUCUCUCCCAUGCACUGCGCGCCACACAAACCUUCUCUCUCUCUCUCUCUCUCUCUCGUCGACGACGUUCCUAACCAUGGACAGGCCGCAAGACUUGGUCACUGCGCUGGACCGCUAGGCAAGAUCAGGAAUACCCGGACUCCGCGUCUCACUCACACACAAGUUAAUAUAUAGUUAUACAUUUGAAAGAAACGAACUUAGAAUCAUCUGAAUCAUCAAGCAGUGAUGAAAAUGCGCCGAAACCGCGGCCAAAACAAAGACGGUACAAUGCUGGAAUGAUUAAAAAUUACGAAACAGAUUACCGUUUGAAGUUGAAAGAUGCUCGUUCCAGAUAUAAGUGGGAUUCCUUCGGAAAAAACAAUGAAGAUACUUUAGUAACAGCUAAUAGCAGCACCAGCUACUCUUCAGCUGCAGUAAGUGGAAAUGAAACUAAUGAAAAUGUAGAGCAAUCAAUAAGUCAGAGAAUUGAAUCAGCUUUGACUGAAAGUGCAAAUAUUUGUGAAGAACAGAAUCAAAUAUCUCCUAAUGAUAUUAAAUAUACAGAUGCAGUUAGAAACAAUGACAUGGAAAAUGAAUCAACUUAUGACAUUGAAGAGCGCUAUAGUGACGAUGAUGCAAUUAGUGAUUUAUUUUCAAAUGAUAUCCGAGAUACUGAUGAUUUCUCAUUUCGAACUACUGAUACUGACGAUAGUGAGGCAAAUGAAUUCGAUUAUGAAGAUCAGCAGUUCAACGAUCGUAAAAUAAUGUUUGAAACUUCGAAAUUGACUAUAAAUGAUGUAAUGACGUUAGUUAUGGCUUUUUCAAUAAGAUUCAAGAUAUCAGACGUAGGAAGAUCGGAAUUAAUAAAUAUGAUUAAAUUAUUUGCUGGACCACAAGUUAAUGAUAUAAAUAUUUCUAAGUAUAGAUUUCAACAAAAAUUUGAUCCACCAAAUGAAACAUAAGUAUGAUUCAUUAUUACUGUAUGAGUUGUAAGCAACAAAUUCUAUACUAUACCAAAUUAAAAGAGCGAUUUAGGAAACAAAAAAAUACGUGUGCUAUAUGUAACGCUCAAUGUGAAAUAACAACGAAAUCGAAGAAUUAUUUCAUGUCUGUCGAUUUGAAGUAUCAACUGAAAAUGAUGUUUGAUUCCGUAGAAAUUAAAAAAGAAAUAUUUGAUUUUAUUAAUAAGAUGGAUAAUAGAAACAAUGAUGAGAUCGCUAUUAGAGAUAUUUAUGAUAGUGAAUUGUAUAAAGAAAUAAAUAGUGAUACAAAUAUGAAGUACAUAACUUAUAACCUUAGUACUGAUGGGGCGCCUUUGACUAAAAGUGGCAAAAGAGGUUUCUGGCUUCUUCAAAUAAUUCUCAACUGUUUACCUCCAAAAAGACUACAAACCAAGACAAUGAAGCGAAAAAAGCAAAGCCCAAGCACAAGGAAGCGAUGCUUCUGGAACAAGAGUUGAAGAAAGCGAUGCUUUCAAUACAACUAACGUCACUGAGCGCAUUUUAAGAAAGAAGACUAGCAAGGAAAAUCGUGCCCUAAAAUCAGCCUUAUUGGUAGAGAAUGAAAAGAAUGGUACGACGAGGUCGCUGACAGAAUUGAGCAAAAUGACAACAAUGGUCAAAAAACUGAUCAAUUUGAGGAUAACGAGAAUGAUCACCUGGAUAAGGAAAAUGUAAUUUUCACAGAAAAAGCGGACACUCUUAGCAUCUCUCUGCCAUAAGGUCGUAAGAUGCCUAUACUGUUUUUAGCAAAUAAAAUGGAUUUACCUGACUCUUUAACAACUGUGAAACUUGUAUCAGGACUAGGUUUAGAUAAGAUUCAAAAUAAACCAUGGCAUGUACGAACAACAAAUGCUAUCACUGGUGAAGGCCUACAAGCUGCUAUUGAAUGGUUUACAGAUCAAAUACGAGAUAUACAUAUAAAUAAAAGAUAGCAACCACAAAAGUGCAUAAAAUUAUUUAAAAAAUAUAAUUUAUUUUACAAGCCACUAAUGAGUUAUUCGCUCGCAUAACUUCAUUUUAAGUAAUUUAUAUUUCCUAUGUACUAUUUUGUUAAAAUAUAAAGUUUGUUAUGGCAGCCCUGGUAGAAACGAAAUCUUUUGUCGUUAUACUUAAAUCAAAGGAUUUAAAUUCAGCCACAAAGUAGUAUAUUGUGUAGCAAGGGCGCAAAGUGGGUCACCUUUAUACCCUUGGCAUAUGAAAGAAGAAUAAAAAAUUUUUAAUUUAAACAAA
Nasonia vitripennis (jewel wasp) is the source of this 2800-nucleotide RNA transcript. It is a transcript of the gene named ADP-ribosylation factor-like protein 6, with no coding region annotated. The transcript has 6 exons. The record is from RefSeq and is a predicted model, not a curated record. Lineage: Eukaryota; Metazoa; Arthropoda; Insecta; Hymenoptera; Pteromalidae.